Long non-coding RNA from Oncorhynchus nerka (sockeye salmon), 2830 nucleotides. RefSeq lists it as uncharacterized. The transcript has 6 exons. The record is from RefSeq and is a predicted model, not a curated record. NCBI's taxonomy places the organism in Eukaryota, Metazoa, Chordata, Actinopteri, Salmoniformes, Salmonidae.
AGGUGUACAACGCACGUGGCAAACUAGCCUGACACAGCAGUGAAAUUGUACCUUAACAAACAUCGCAUGUCACAGAUUUAAGACCUGAAUGUAGAAAUCGUGGUCUGCUGGCCAGUGCCCAAAAUAUUUAAAUGACAUCCCUGCAUAUCAUUCCCUUUCAGAUGAUCCCCCUAUCACUGUUGGCCAUCCUCAGUGGCCUUACGGAUGAGAGUUUUAACUUUCCUGUUGAGAAUUAUAAGUACAGUCAUAUAGCUCAUCUCAAUACUUCACCUUUUCAGGAUAAGGGCAUCCUAGACUGUCCUGAUCAUCUAGUUGAGCAUCCCAGAUAAUUCCUCCAUCACAGCAGAAAUGUGUCUCCGGAGGGGAUGACUGCCGUUUUACAGGCUCCUAACCAACUGCUUUUUUUUGUGCUUUUUUUUCCGAAACUUAUUUUUUUUAAUUAUGUUGUACAUAAUGUUGCUGCUACCGUCUUUUAUGUCUGAAAAAAGCAGCGGUUACUCUCCUCGAACUGGACAAAGAUGUUUUUCUUUAAGAAGUUAGACACGAAGGAAAUACUGCUUUCUCGAGACCCGGUCCAAAUCCCUGUCAUUUGCGUGAAGAAAAGAUGGAGAAAAAUGCAGCGGAGGUCGGGCGAGUGAGUAAACCUCCACUACCAUCCAUACAAUUGGCCAACCUGCAAUCAUUUGAAAAUAAAAUUGAAGAUCUACAAUUAAGGCUAUCCUACCAACGUGACAUUGAACUGUAAUAUGUUAUGUUUCACUGAGUCGUGGCUGAACGAUGACACAUAAUAUAGAGCUGGCUGGGUUUUCCAUGCAUCGGCAGGACAGGGAAACUACGUCUGGUAAGAUGAGGGGGUUUCUGUCUAUUUGUCAAUAACAGCUGGUGCGUGAUGUCUAAUAUUAAAGAAGUAUCGAGGUAUUGCUCGCCUGAGUACCUCAUGAUAAGCUGUGCAGGCCACACUAUCUGCCAAGAGUUCUCAUCUAUAUUAUUCGUAGCAGUCUAUUUACCACCACAAACCGAUGCUGUCACUAAGAGCUCACUCAGCAAGCUGUAUAAGGCCAUAGGCAAACAAGAAAAUGUUCAUCCAGAAGUGGCACUCCUAGUGGCCGGGGACUUUAAUACAGGCAAACUUAAAUCCGUUUACCUCAUUUCUACCAGCAUGUAGAAAUGUGCAACCAGAGGAAAAAUAUCUCAAGACAACCUUUAUGCCACACACAGAGACGCAUAUAAAGGUCUCCCUCGCCCUCCAUUUGGUAAAUCUGACUAUAAUUCUAUCCUCCUGAAGUACCAGUGACUCGCUCAAUACAUCACCAACAAACUAUCAUGGUCCAAACACACCAAGACAGUUGUAAAGAGGGCACAACAGCAGACUGAAAGGUUUUGGCAUGGGUUCUUAGAUCCUCAGUUAUACAGCUGCACCAUCGAGAGCAUCCUGACCGGUUGCAUCACCGGCUGGUAUGGCAACUGCUCGGCAUCUGACCAUAAGGCGCUACAGAGGGUAGUGCGUACGGCCCAGUACAUCAUUGGGGCCAAGCUUCCUGCCAUACAUGACCUAUAUACUAAACGGUGUCAGAGGAAGACUCAAAAAAAUUGUCAAAGACUCCAGUCACCCAAGUCAUAGACUGUUCUCUCUGCUACCGCACUGCAAGCGGUACGGGGGCGCCAAGUCUAGGACCAAAAUGCUCCUUAACAGCUUCUACCUCCAAGCCAUAAGACUGCUGAACAAUUCAUCAAAUGGUCACCCGAACUAUUUACAUUGACACCCCCCCCCGCCCCCUUUGUUUUUAUACUGCUGUUUAUUAUCUAAAAAUAGUUAUUUUACCUACAUGUACAAAUUACCUCUACUAACCUGUUCCCCCACACAUUGACUCGGUACCGGUACCCCCUGUAUAUAUCCUCGCUAUUGUUAUUUUAUUGUGUUACAUUUUAUAUUUAUUUAAUUUGAGAUGUCCCAUCCACAUAGUAAGAUUUUAGAUGUGCAGAUAAACCAAUUCCAGUCUAUUUUACCAUUACUUUCAUCAAGUCUGUGGGUUAUGGUAUUGUAAUGUAAAUGUUACUGUUUUAGUAAUCAACUUAGCUAGCUAGUAAAAGUACCUUUUUUUUGUGUGUGUCUUUUGAAAUGGGCGGACCGGAAACCUCAGUGACGACACUCUGGUCUGUAGCUGCCAUUUUCCGUUGGAAAAGAGAAAUGGUACCAGAAAAGUCCAACAGGAGUGCAUCCCUCAGACUGUAUGAUUCAUGGACAUCCUGUGUCAGUGUGAUCGGCUUGUGGAGACUACAGCUGAUCGAGCCUAUGAACGGACAGACACGAGGUGUGACAUGCUGAAACCUCAGGCUCACCCCACAAGAAGCAGUAAAUGAUCAACGCCACCCUCAACAAGGAGAUCUGCUGGAAGUGAUUUACUCUCACUCUGGGGAAUGUCAGGUACAGACAUGGAAAUGGAGCCUUUAGCAAGUACUGACAGGAGGGGCAAUAUGAAUCUGUCAGAGGUUGUCACGAUGGGUGGUGAAGGAGGCUUGGUGCUCCACACAACGAAGAAGCAGUGUCCCUUCCAGUGAUUAUGGAGCUGACCUUGGACCUGGUGCCAGUAAGGAUGGUCUUCACGGAAAUCCUUCGACUUCACUGCCUCUUCAAUGACAUGACCCCAUCUAACGACUGAUCCGAGGACCCUUUUUAGUAGCAAUGGAGGACAGGUGCAGUUUUUCCAUAAACUUUGAAUUGAUAAAUUGGGAUUUUAUUGCUUAAGAUAUCAAUCAUAUAGUGGGAAGGAUUCUAUAAAUUUAGACUGUGAAUGCAUGUACCACUGAAUAAACAAAUACUGUGCCACAU